This 428-nucleotide long non-coding RNA is filed under the name Brassica napus (rape). Its description in RNAcentral is "long non-coding RNA (BNAP_LNC013628)". Lineage: Eukaryota; Viridiplantae; Streptophyta; Magnoliopsida; Brassicales; Brassicaceae. The record is from RNAcentral.
AUAUAAUAAAGAAAAUAAUUUAUUUAUUGAUUAAUCUUUAAAAGUACUUUUCAAAAAACUAGAAUUGUUAUCUAAAUUAGUAUUUUCAGCGGGCACAUUCACAUCACAUAAGACCCAGCAAUCCUAGCUUCACCAAUCCGACAAUCCAAAUCAUAUACGACCGACGGUCCAUCAUGGCCAAAGCCCACAUACAUCUAAAGGUUAAAAACAAACAAAGCUAACUACACGGCCAAAGCCAACUACACGACUUGAAGCCAAAACAUAGUCAUAACAUAUUUUACGGCCUAAAGCGAAAACACUUUCCUUAUUUAACCUUGUUUGUAUAAUCUCGUAAUUUUGUGAAUUACUCUCAUUCUUAAUCUGUUUUAAUGACUUUUCUACUUAACAUGCCAAUUCCUUUCGAGAUCAAUUCUACGUUCGGUCACAUA